RNAcentral lists this ribosomal RNA (277 nucleotides) under uncultured Spirochaeta sp. RNAcentral's name for it is "partial 16S ribosomal RNA". It matches the Rfam family "Bacterial small subunit ribosomal RNA", at positions 1107 to 1382 of the family's 1533-position model. Lineage: Bacteria; Pseudomonadati; Spirochaetota; Spirochaetia; Spirochaetales; Spirochaetaceae. The record is from RNAcentral.
GCUAUCUGUUGCCAGCAAGUGAUGUUGGGGACGUCAGAUGGAACUGCCGGUGACAAACCGGAGGAAGGUGGGGACGACGUCAAGUCAUCAUGGCCCUUAUGUCCUGGGCUACACACGUGCUACAAUGGCCGGUACAGAGCGCAGCGAAGCCGCGAGGCAAAGCGAAUCGCAAAAAGCCGGUCUCAGUACGGAUUGGAGUCUGAAACCCGACUCCAUGAAGUUGGAAUCGCUAGUAAUCGCGCAUCAGCAUGGCGCGGUGAAUACGUUCCCGGGCCUU